GAACCAAUCACCAAUGAGCAAAGUGAAAUCACCAGCAGGGUUUGGAUAAGGGAUUGGGAUGACAGAUCUGUGAUAGAUAUUGAGUCCUCCAAAUCCUCCAGCGGCUUUGUGAAAUGCAGUUGAUGGAAAGUAGGAAAAGGCAUUGGUGAAGAUGAUGGCUGUUUGAUGUACCUAUCAUCGAAUUACUGCAAGUGCCUAUAAUCUUUUAGAUGUGGUUCUUUACCAAGCAAGUUAUGGCCACAAUAUAUCAGCAAAAGGCGGUUGAUAUAAAUGAGAGGGAGCUUGGGCUUGAUCAUCCUGACACAAUAAAAAGCUAUGGGGACCUUUCUGUCUUUUACUAUUGUAUGCAAUAAUACGAGCUUGCUUUGAAGUAGGUUACAAUGACUCUCCUCUUCAAAAUAGUUUAGAUGCCUAUGCCAUGAAGAAUUUCUGUUGAUUGUUGUAUUCAGGGCACCAAAAAACUGUGACUCUUUUAAUGCAGUGUGUCAGAUCUUCUGGAUUUUAUAAGUCCCGAGCUUGAUUCUAAUGGAAAUGAACAAGCUCAGAGAAAACAGCAGCGUGGGAAGGUUCUCUGCCAAAUUUUUACAUGGUGUUAC
Molecule: non-coding RNA, 596 nt
Organism: Arachis ipaensis
Lineage: Eukaryota; Viridiplantae; Streptophyta; Magnoliopsida; Fabales; Fabaceae
Source: RefSeq, a predicted model, not a curated record